This 1119-nucleotide long non-coding RNA is filed under the name Sus scrofa (pig). Its description in RNAcentral is "lncRNA (ENSSSCG00045004455.1)". The record is from RNAcentral. Lineage: Eukaryota; Metazoa; Chordata; Mammalia; Artiodactyla; Suidae.
ACGUAGUGCGCAGGCGCAACUUUGAGGCCGCCGUUAGGAGGGCGGGACGGGGCCAAAAAGGUGAAUGGGGGCGGAGCUAAGGUCCGCUCGAGGAGGCGGGGUCAGAAUCACGGGGCGGGGCCGAAGUUUCCUGAGGCCGGAUGUAGGAGUCUUAAGCGGUGGGGGAUCCACGAACCUGGCGGGUGGUUUGCAGUGCGCAGGCGUAACACGAGGGGUCGCGCUAGGUUCGGAGUGGACUGUCCCUUCCCUGCACAGGAAAGAGAAAGGGGGAGUGGGUAGUAGCCACUCAAGGGGUGUGGUGGAAGCGGGAGGGGCGGGGCCAAAGUUUCCCUUGGCAGGAGGCGGAUGAGAGGCGGGGGCCAGGGGAGGGGCCCAGGACUCAAUGCUCCUGAUUAGGCAAGAGCUGGCAGCUGGUGGAGAGCUGAGUCCCUUUUCUAGAAGUAGAGUCCUACCUUUUCCUCCCCUCUCCCCUAGUGUAUCCUUUGCAGACCCUCGGACCUGGACACCGUUUGGUGCGCUUCUGUGGGCACAUUCCCCUACUGAUUCAUGCAUCUGUCAACUGAAGUAUCACGCCGCUGGUUGUAGGUUCCACAGCCACCUCCUCAGAGCCUCAUCACUCCUGUGCUUCCCCAGCUGCCUACCCAGUAAAAAGCUGAUGACAUUUUUGGAGGCCAGGGCGGAUCUGAGGCCCUUUCAGCUGUGCUCUCUUCCUGAAGCCAUCUGUCGUGUCAACUAGUCAUGGAUAAAGAAGCCUCUGAGGUCAGUCCCAGCCCACCUACAGUGACCAUCAAGAAGAAAGAUAAAAGUGCAAGAUCCGAAAAGUUCUCCAAAAAUGUUCUGAUCUUUUUACUGGGGAGGCAGCUGGGGAGGCACAGGAGUGACGUGGACCUGUCAAAGUGGCUGUGGAUGCUGACAUGAGCUGCCCCAGGGUGGAGCUGGCCAUGGCCAGUGAGUCCUAAAACCUACCUGCUCAUGCCUGUCUGUAACUUUAGAAAAAAAUAAAAACAAGUAACAAACUCCUCCCUUGUUUCACCUGUUAAAAUAAAAGGUGACUGUCACCCCUUUUGUCUUGAUACGUUUUUACGCCAGUACAGUUUUCCUGGGUUACACUGGAGAGGG